RNAcentral lists this long non-coding RNA (840 nucleotides) under Mytilus galloprovincialis (Mediterranean mussel). Lineage: Eukaryota; Metazoa; Mollusca; Bivalvia; Mytilida; Mytilidae. The record is from RNAcentral.
CUAUUUAUUUAUUUGUAUUGUAGUCCUGUAAUAUGUUGUCAUUUCAAUGUUAUAUUUAACUUUGCCAUUAAAGUGCGAGGUUUGGCAUGCCACAAAACCAGGUUCAACCCACCACUUUUAUUCCCUUUAAAAGUGUCCUGUACCAAGUCAGGAAGAUGGCCAUUGUUAUAUUAUUGUUCGUUUCUGUGUGUGUUGCAUUUUAACGUUGAGUCGUUUGUGUUUUCUCUUAUUUUUGAGAUAUUGAGAUCAGACGUGGCACGGUACUUGUCUAUCCCUAAUUCAUGUAUUUGGUUUUCAUGUUAUAUUUGUUAUUCUCGUGGUGUUUUGUCUGAUGCUUGGUCCGUUUCUGUGUGUGUUACGUUUCGGUGUUAUGUCGUUGUUCUCCUCUUAUAUUUAAUGCGUUUCCCUCGGUUUUAGUUUGUUACCCCGAUUUUGUUUUUUGUCCCUGGAUUUAUGAGUUUUGAACAGCGGUAUACUACUGUUGCCUUUAUUUGGCAUUACUAAAUUCAUCCUGGUUAAUAAUAUAUUUAUCUAGAUUUCACUGAUUUCCAUUAGGUGGGACCAGUUAGCAGGAGUAAUAUUAACGGAAUUUAACUUAUAUACAACGGGAUAACAUCUUUUUACAUGAGUGGGGCGAGUUGGCAUUAGUAAAUUCUUCCUGGUUAAUAAUAUAUUUAUCUAGAUAUUAUCGUUUUCUAUAAGUUGGGGCAAGUUGGCAGGAGUAAUAUUAAGGGAUAUAACACAUUUCACAAGUGGGGCGAUUUGGUUAUCCAGGUUGGGGCAGUUUUUUUUUAAAGUGGGGCGAGUUAGUGAAAAAGUGGGGCUAUUUGCUAAUGGGGC